This 799-nucleotide ribosomal RNA is filed under the name Rhexinema paucicellulare. RNAcentral describes it as "partial large subunit ribosomal RNA". It matches the Rfam family "Eukaryotic large subunit ribosomal RNA", at positions 80 to 912 of the family's 3401-position model. Lineage: Eukaryota; Viridiplantae; Chlorophyta; Ulvophyceae; Ulotrichales; Helicodictyaceae. The record is from RNAcentral.
UUAGUAACGGCGAGCGAAACGGGAAGAGUCCAACUUGAAAAUCUCCAGCUUUCAGCUGGCGAAUUGUAGUCUAGAGAAGCAAUCUCUGUGGCCACUCAUGCCCAAAUUCCCUGGAACGGGAUGUCGGAGAGGGUGAGAGCCCCGUCGGCAUGGUGUUGGUCGCUCCACGAGAUGCUUUCGCAGAGUCGGGUUGUUUGGGAAUGCAGCCCUAAUUUGGUGGUAAGUCCCAUCUAAGACUAAAUACUGGCGAGAGACCGAUAGCGAACAAGUACCGUGAGGGAAAGAUGAAAAGAACUUUGAAAAGAGAGUUAAAUAGUGCUUGAAAUUGUUGAGGGGGAAGCCAUUGGCGGCUGUGGGUGCACCCGGGCUCAAAGUAUCCCACCGGAUACCUGAAAGUGCCGGGAGCUGGUCAGCAUGGGCUGUGCCUGCGGGAUAAACCUUUCUGUGUCGAAAGUCUAUGCCGUGGGGGCGGCCGAGGAACGAAGAGCGCUCUGCCUCCGAGCUGCGUUCUCAAGAUGCUGACGGAAGGGCGCCAAUGGGCCCGUCUUGAAACACGGACCAAGGAGUCUAACAUGUACGCGAGUUGGUGGGUGGAAAACCCAUAAGCGCAAGUAACCUGACUGGUGGGAUGGCCUGUGCCUGCACCAUCGACCGACCAUGAUCUUCUGUGAAAGGUUCGAGUACGAGCGUACCUGUUGGGACCCGAAAGAUGGUGAACUAUGCCUGAGCAGGGCGAAGCCAGAGGAAACUCUGGUGGAGGCUCGUAGAUGUGCUGACGUGCAAAUCGCUUUUCGGACUU